This 2548-nucleotide long non-coding RNA is filed under the name Jatropha curcas. Its description in RNAcentral is "long non-coding RNA (JCUR_LNC001203)". The record is from RNAcentral. Lineage: Eukaryota; Viridiplantae; Streptophyta; Magnoliopsida; Malpighiales; Euphorbiaceae.
GAAACUCUUCUUCCAAAUAGUUUGUGGCCCUUUAUGUACUUCUAAUCCCCUAACAACAGUAGAGUGGUAUCUGGUAUUCACUUCUCUGUGCAUUGUAUUGUCCCAGCUCCCAAAUCUUAAUUCAAUCGCAGGACUUUCCCUUAUUGGUGCCAUAACAGCCAUAACUUAUUCCACCAUGGUGUGGGUGCUCUCUGUUAGUCAACAAAGGCCACCUUCUAUCUCCUACCAACCCCUUUCUUUGCCAUCCUUUGGUGCUUCCAUCUUUUCAGUAAUGAAUGCGCUUGGAAUUAUAGCCUUUGCGUUUAGAGGGCAUAAUCUAGCUCUGGAGAUUCAGGUACGCACUCUGUUUUCUCGAAGUGUUAUAUCUUCCUGUGUCUGAAACAUGUAAUGUAAUCUAUGUUCUGAGGCCUUAAUAAUUUCAUUUAAUCUGGCUUUUCUCAGGCAACAAUGCCAUCAACAUUUAAGCACCCAGCUCAUGUACCCAUGUGGAAAGGAGCCAAAGUUGCUUAUUUCUUCAUUGCCAUGUGCUUAUUCCCUGUUGCCAUCGGAGGCUUUUGGGCAGAUAUAUAGCUUUUGUCAGUUAUCCACGAGGCAUACCUUUCGGGUGCAUUGACAUCCUCGAAACGCAAUUAUGGAUUUUGUUUUGCAGUUGUUAUCCUCUAGUUUCUGUUUUUACUCGUCUUUUUAAUCACUUUUUCUUCUCCUUCUUUUGUUUUUUUCCCUAAUCUAUGUCAUUCUUAGUUAACUUGUUAUAGUUAAGCUUUUAAUUCUGAUACUCUCCUGUUAUAUAUUCUUGACAUGUCCGAUGAAGGUGGGAUUUUUGGUCUCUGUUCAAAUUCUCGCAGUUGCCAGAUAUUUUUGUUUUCCCUGUUAAAAUAAAGUAACAAGUUUAAUCUUGCAAAAGAUUGUAACUUUGCGCAGUGCACUGCUUUUAAAAAUGCAUAUUCAGCACAUCCACCAAAAUAAAGCCACUGUGGUCUAUUGCAUAGUGAGGGGAAUCUCAUUAAAGUUUAUGGGGUGUGUGUCUAGCUAGUAGUAGUUGAUGAUCUUCUUUCUUUAUCUUUUUCAAAAUUUUAUUGCAGAUUUGGUUUGAAUACAAAUCGAAGCUACCCUUUAAGCAAUUUCAUUUCUUCUUUUUCGCUUUUGUAGAAGUUCAAUUAUUAUUUUCGAGAAGAGAUGCCAUCUUUGGCAUGGGUCCCUUCAUAAUUCUGUUUUUACUUUUGGCUUCUUUCAGACAGAGGGGCACUAGUUAAUUAAUUGAUUAUUAUUUAUUAUAAUUGUUUGGCUUUCAUGAAUCAUGAUCAUGAUACACAAAACAGUUCUCUUGCUAUUGAUGGCAAUUCAGAAGUAAUAGUUUACAGAAUUUAACAUUGUUGCUUAUUUUCUUUUUCUGUUCAUAUUUUUUAAAGUAAUUUACUGAUACUAUUGUUAUAAAUUAGGAACUUCUUUUUUCCCCUUCUUCUUACCAUUUAUAUAAAUACUUGAAGUGUUUUACAUUCAUGCGCACUCAAUAGUUACAAAUGCUCAGAAAGAUUUGGAAUAAGGGGCUGAUAGCUAGAAUUUUUAUCAAAUUUCUUGUGAUUGAGGAGAAUUGUGUCUGAACUAUAUGAAAAGAAUUAUGUAAAACUUCUUACAAUUGCAACUCUCCCUUGUAUCUUUUGCUGUUAGAGAAGCGGAGAACCUUGAUGUGUUGGCUUACAAACUUUACAAAACGGAGUCGAAAAAUAUAGUCACAAUGGUUAAUGGAAGGAAAUUGAUGUGUUGGCUUCGCUUUUGUUUGCAGGAGUUGGGGAAUAUUGUCCUUGACCAUAGCUUACUUCUGGCAACUUUAUACUUUAUGGAUUCUAGUUCAGCUACAUGAAGCAGUUCCUGGGAAGAGGUAUAACAGAUACGUGGAGCUUGCACAAGCAGCAUUUGGUGAGGAUACGGAAUUAACACUUGCUAUUUCUUUUCUGAUCGUUUGAUGUUUUAACUGCUUAGUGCUUAAUAAUCAAAUGUUAAGAUAAUAUAUACAAAUUAACAAUGAUUCUGUAUUCUCUUAUUUGCAGGGGAAAGAUUAGGUGUUUGGCUUGCUCUCUUUCCAACUGUUUACUUGUCAGCUGGAACUGCGACAGCUUUGAUUCUUAUAGGAGGGGAGACCAUGAAACUCUUCUUCCAAAUAGUUUGUGGCCCUUUAUGUACUUCUAAUCCCCUAACAACAGUAGAGUGGUAUCUGGUAUUCACUUCUCUGUGCAUUGUAUUGUCCCAGCUCCCAAAUCUUAAUUCAAUCGCAGGACUUUCCCUUAUUGGUGCCAUAACAGCCAUAACUUAUUCCACCAUGGUGUGGGUGCUCUCUGUUAGUCAACAAAGGCCACCUUCUAUCUCCUACCAACCCCUUUCUUUGCCAUCCUUUGGUGCUUCCAUCUUUUCAGUAAUGAAUGCGCUUGGAAUUAUAGCCUUUGCGUUUAGAGGGCAUAAUCUAGCUCUGGAGAUUCAGGUACGCACUCUGUUUUCUCGAAGUGUUAUAUCUUCCUGUGUCUGAAACAUGUAAUGUAAUCUAUGUUCUGAG